GGGGAUAUAGCUCAGUUGGUAGAGUGCUUGUCUUGCGUGCAUAAGGCCCUGGGUUCAAUCCCCAGCAACACAG
Molecule: non-coding RNA, 73 nt
Organism: Ictidomys tridecemlineatus (thirteen-lined ground squirrel)
Lineage: Eukaryota; Metazoa; Chordata; Mammalia; Rodentia; Sciuridae
Source: Rfam